AACAUCGCGCACCUGCGGGAACCUGCGGAGGGAUCAUUAUCGAGUGUGACCUCUAUUUUAGAGGGUGCCUCCCGUCCUUGCAGGCCCCUAGGGGCUUUUGACUUUGCUUCGGCGGUACCCCCGCCGGAACAACCCCAAGAAAAUCUCAAUCAAACUGUUCAGUCCGAGGGCUUGUGAAUAAUCAAAACUUUCAACAAUGGAUCU
This 204-nucleotide unclassified non-coding RNA is filed under the name soil metagenome. RNAcentral's name for it is "partial contains 5.8S ribosomal RNA, internal transcribed spacer 2, and large subunit ribosomal RNA". The record is from RNAcentral.